UACGUAGGGGCCGAGCGUUGUCCGGAGUUAUUGGGCGUAAAGCGCGCGCAGGCGGCCUCGCGCGCCCGACGUGAAAGCCCCCGGCUCAACUGGGGAGGGUCACGCGAUACUGAUCGACUCGAAGGCAGGAGAGGGUAGUGGAAUUCCCGGUGUAGCAGUGAAAUGCGUAGAGAUCGGGAGGAACACCAGUGGCGAAGGCGACUACCUGGACCAGCACUGACACUGAGGCACGAAAGCGUGGGGAGCAAACAGG
Molecule: ribosomal RNA, 253 nt
Filed under: uncultured bacterium
Lineage: Bacteria
Description: partial 16S ribosomal RNA
Rfam family: Bacterial small subunit ribosomal RNA
Source: RNAcentral